RNAcentral lists this long non-coding RNA (11756 nucleotides) under Lynx pardinus (Iberian lynx). The record is from RNAcentral. Lineage: Eukaryota; Metazoa; Chordata; Mammalia; Carnivora; Felidae.
UGAUGGCUGAGUUGUACGGUUAAGUAUGCCCAGUUUUUUUCUUUGUUUGUUGUUCUUGGUGUGUGUGUGUGUGUGUGUGUGUGUGUGUGUGUGUGUGUUUAAAGAAACUGCCAAACUACUUUCCAGAGUGGCUGUAACAUUUUAAAUUCCCACCAUUUAGGAGGGAUAUAGAUUCCCCACAGCUCUGCCGGCAUUUUGUGGCCUCACUGUGUUUAGUUUGAGUUGUCCCAGUAAGAAUGUAGUGAGAUCUCAUUAUGAUCUUAAUUUUCACUUCCCUGGUGGCUGGCGAUGAUGAACGUCCCGUCUUCUCAUGGUCUCUUUUGUCCUUGUGUAUCAUCUUUGGUAAAAUAUUCCUUCACACUCUUUGUCCACUUUAUCAUUGAAUUGUCUGCUUUUUUUUAAGUGUUGAGUUUUGAGAGUUCUUUAUGUAUUCUAAAUGUGAGUCCAUUUUCAGAUACGUGGUUUGCAAAUACAUUCUCCCAGUCUUUAGUCUGUCUUCCAUCUAAUUUACCAGUGUUUUUCCUUUUAUAGAUCAUGUUUUGAUGUCAUGUCUAAAAACUCUUCCCCAAGCCCUAUGUCUCAAGGAUUGCCUCCUAUGUUUUCUUCCAAAAGUUGUAUAAUUUUACAUCUUAUACUAAAGUAAAUGAGCCAGGGGCACCUGGGUGGCUCAGUCGGUUGAGCGACUGACUUCGGCUCAGGUCAUGAUCUCACGGUUUGUGAGUGCAAGCCCUGCAUCGGGCUCUGUGCUGACAGCUCAGAGCCUGGAGCCUGCUUCGGAUUCUGUGUCUCCCUCUCUCUCUGCCCCUCCCCCACUCGUGCUCUGUCUCUCUCUGUCUCAGAAAUAAACAUCAAAAAAAAUUAAAGUAUAUGCGCUAUCGCGCAAUCAUUUUUGUACAAGUUGUGACAUGUAGGUCAGUUCAGGUCUUGCUUGGGGAUGUCCAAAUCCUCCAGCCCCAUUUGUGGAAAAUGGUCUCCUUCCAGUGAAUUACUUUUGCACCCUUGUCAAGAAUCUAUCGGUUCUGCUUGUGUGGGGCUAUUUCCGAGAUGACAAUUUUGUCCCAUUGAUCUAGGUGCCUAUCCUUCUGCCAGGAUUGCACAGUCUUGAUUGAUAUUAUUUUGUUAAUAAGCCAAAAUGGCUAUCCCAGGCUAUGGAUCUGCCUAAUUUAUCAUCCAGUAGGAAGGAAAGUGAUCCAACAGGGUUUGGAAAGAGUGGCAUAAAAAAGUAAAUUUUCUUCCUGUUAAAAUCUCACCAAGUCCAGCUUGUUUGAUAGGCAAUUACAAUUAUCUACCUCUUGGAAGAUUGGCUGUGUGUGUGUGUGUGUGUGUGUGUAUUUAUUUAAUGCAUCAUGCAUGAGAAGCAUUUAAUAUUGUGUCUGGGUUAAGUCCUCAAUUUUGUUGUUUGCCAUUAAUAUGCAAUAUUAUUAUUAUUACCUUCGCCAUCCAUGCUUUUCUCUGACCCCUUUCUAGGGGUUACACAGAGAAGCUAGCAUUUCCAUUCCUCAAACACAUCUCUCAACUAUGCUUAGAAGUUAAAAAUUGCCUUAAGGAAACAAAAAAAAUCUUGCUUAGCAUCUAUUAGCCUUCCUCACCCACCUUGAAGAAAAAGGAAAUUUAUCUAGACAGGUAAUAGACCCCAAGAUGGAAGGGCUGAGCAGGCAUUCCCUCUCGACCCUCACAGCUACCCACCUGCCUUGUGCUUCUUCAGGUCGGGAGAGCGAGCUGUGCACCCGGACGCCGUGCCCAGGACCUGGCCUCCUGGGUCGAUGUGUGGCUUGUUCAAGGGGACCCAAGGCUGAGGGCUGCAGGGAAAGAAGUAAGGUCACUCAUGUUUUUCAAGCCCUCCUCAGAGCCCUCUCAGCCCUCCAGCACGGAUCUCGAGGACCUAGAUUGGGAAUCCCUGAACCUUAGCCAAACCCACCAAGGCCUGGCUUUGCUCUCCCAGCUGAGGACAGGCCUGGGAGGCCACACCGCUCAAUGGGUUAAUAAGGAUUUCCAGGGCCGGGGAAGUGAGGGCUGCAGCAGCUGGGAUGAGGAAUGGGAGAAUCAUUAUUUUUAAUUUCAGCAAGUCCAUGUGUUAAUAAAGAGGUUGGAUGAGAUGUGAGGACGGUGGUGGCUGGGGGUUGGGAGGGGGCGAGAGCAAAGCCCAUCACUUCCUAAAUGUUUGCUGCUAGGGCAGCCACAUCUUUGAAACCAGAGUGGAGAAUUCUUCAAGUCUGGUAAUAGCAAACACUCUUCAUCAUGCCCUUCAGUGGCUGCUGACUGCAGACAGCUUUUUUCCCCUUCAACAAUAGAAGAGAUGGGAAAGAAAAGGCAAGCUUUUGGCCUCGGGGUUUUUUUUUUUUUUUUAACCACUGCUCUUUCCCGCUCCAACCUACAUCUAAGAGGGAGGGAAACUAUCUUUUGUUAUCACUCAAUCUCCCUUAAAUUUAAGAACAGCUGGGGAUAUUUUUCAUGAUUCAUUAAAUUCACAUCAUUCCAAAGAAAUCUUCCUGCCGAUUUAUCUUUACCUCAGCAGUUGGGGCUCCAGGAGUGUGCAGGCUUCCUGAAUGCCGUCAACCUGGGUCCACUGUUUUGGGCUGAGUCUGUGAUCUUUCAUGCUGGAAUAUCUUUUUUUUUUUUUGAGGGUGAAAGAGAGCAGGAAAGGAAUCAGGGUAUUGAAAUGAAUCUUUCCAGUCAAUUUUUCCCUUUCUGGAGAUAAAGAGAAAGUCGUAUGGCAGUCACAGCUAAAGACUAAACCCCAGCUAAUGUCCUCAGCAGGGAAGAAUAAUUAGUAAAUUCUCUAAUUAGAGUCCUGUUUACAUUUCUCUUUUCAUAGAGGCUAAUCCUUGUGUUUAAAGAAGAUAUUCUGCCUUGAUUAAAACCAUUGGCUUUAAUCGGAGUCACAGCAGAGUCCAUAGUAAAUGCAAACAUGCUUGUAAGUAUCCAUUCACUCACUCACUCAUUCGUGGAGGCCCUUAUAUGCCUAGCACCAAAUACAAAUAUGACAUGAUCCCUACCCCCGUGGGCUUGGGCAAGCACAGCAAACAGGUUUCACCUUCCAUGCCAACUGUAAUCCACCGGAGAAGGUUUUCUAGAGCAUUCGGAGACCAUUUCCUGGUUCAAGAGAAAGGACAGCUUUACUGGAUAAUUGGCAUCCAUCAAGAGGGCAGAAAGGUGGGGCAUCCUGAAGAGGGGGACACCCACCCACCCCCCAGGUCAUUUUUUGUACACCCAGGGAGAACGAACACUGCCCGAAGGGCUUUUAAAUGCUCUCCUGCAGUCCUCACAAAGCACACAAAUGGAAAGCUGGGCGUGAUUAGACAUGGUUGGUGAAGCCCUGGGACAGCCCAUGUCUUCCUCAACCCUGGCCUUUCCUUCUUAUCGAUGUUCAAGUGACAUAAGGGGCUGGGCCAACUCAGCAUGUUUACAUGAGGAUACCUGUAAUUCAAAACUCUCCACUACCCUAAGUGCUUGUGCUAUAUGGGCAGCACAGCACAGAGAUGAGAAGCUCGGGUUCUGGAACCCAUCGUCUGGGCUGUACACUGGCUCUGCCUUGCGUAGCUGAGUAAAAUUAGGUAGAAUUAACUAACCUCUCUGUGCCGCAGUUUUCUAAACUGUGAAGUGGGGAGAGAAUACCUACGUAAUGGAUUGUUAGGACUAGUAAAAGAAUUCCCAUGGUGCCUGGUUUCUAAUAAGUAGCACUGUGGGUGACCAUCGGUGCUGUUGAGGACCUGCAGCCCUCCCUCUACACCCUCUCUUUUGGUUUUUCCUAAUAGAAUUAUGUGCAAGUGAAAAGAAAAAGAAAGGAAACCAAAAGCAAAAAAAAAACAAAAAACAAAAAAAAACACCAAAAUGCAUUUCUCUGUUUGGAGUUAAAGAGAGUCCCACAUCUGAGAGAUUCACUGAGGACUCUUCUAUAAAUACCCAGUGUAACCAUAUCUGCCUCUUCUGGAACGAAGAACAUUAAGCUUGUAUUUCAACAAGCUUUCGAGGAACUUGAUAGUGCUGAUACAUUAAGUGAUAAGUAAGAAGCCACGGGCACAGUCACUAUCCCUGAAUAAGCAUAAAAUUAAAAGCUUAAGGAAUUCUGGAAAAUUAUUGUUUCACUAACAUUAAUGGGCGAAAACCUGUCCCCUCCACAUUGUGCACAGCCUUUCCAGCUGAUGGCCGACGAAUGCUACAUUUGUGACUUCCUUCCAAGUAUAGACCUUUGGAGAGGACACUAUAGGACUGUUCAAAAAAUUUAUCAGACUUGGCUUCUGCCCUCAAGGAGCCUGAUUGGGGAAGCUCCUAGUACACCCAUCAGAAGGAGGAAACUGUUUGCAAAGCCAAGUGUUACCAUAGGGCCUCUGAUUGCCAAAGGGGCAGAGAGUGAAGAGGGGUCUGGCAGGGCCAGGAAAGUUCAAGAGGACAGUAGGAUUUGAGAGCAGAUAGGCAACUUAUUUGCCUAAGUGGAAGUGUCUAAGUGGAAAAGAAGGAAAAGAAACCAACGGGUAACCUACAAGAGACAGAGUCUUCUCAAACACCUGGUCUCAUUUAGUCCCCCCAGAAUGCUCUGGGUUGAUACUAACUUACCAUUUUUAUCGUGAGAAAAUGGAAACUAAUAGCCGGGAGGUCAAAAACUCCUGAGACUUGAACCCACUUCUGGCAGACCCCUACUCAUUUCCCACUCCAUCUUGCUGCUUCUCUGGAAGCAUAGAACUUGAGAGUAUCAGAAAUAGAAGGUUUCCGCGAUGAAAAGACAACAGCCUCCGGGAAAAAGCUAUAGGGGAGGAGAUUGGGCAUGGUGGAUGGAGAAUCUCUCAGAGAGGAAAGUGCCAGCUAGAAAACACCCUGUGUAAGGAAGAGAAGGCAAAGAGGGGCAAGAUGAUAGUUUUUUGGUUGAUUUUUGUCUUGUUUCUGAGUAUGUGUUUACUUGUACAGAAUCUUGUGAGGCUCUAUAAGGACUUAAUUUUGAAAAUUUAAUUUUCAAAUUUGCCAAAUUUAAUUUAAUUUAAUUUAAUUUCCAAAAUCACCAUUUGGAAUCCUUUUACUUCUUAUCUUCUGUAUAUGCGUCCAGAUUAUACAGACAGUUCUCCACAUGAGGCCAAGCUACCACAUACAAACUGAGAACUUCAUUUCCAGCCUUGGAAUGGUCUGCCCCACCUAAUUCUGUCCAAAGUUUCCCAUUGGAAAUGAAGGUGAUCAGUUUGGGCUUAUUUGUCCAAAAGAUAAGCGAGAGGAGCAAAGAAGGGCAAAGCCAUAGUUUACAAGCUCACAAAAUGCACCCCAAAAUCACUCAAUGAAACUCGGAGUCAGAAUUCCCUUCCUAAAACGCAAGGCUCUUUGUGUUACUUGCCUGUUUAAAACCCUUUAAUAAUUUUCCAUUUCUUUGAGGUUAAAAGCCAAAUUUCUUAGCUACAUGAUACAGUGAUUUGGGACUCAGGCUUUGUGAGGAGACACAACUGCAUCUGAAUCUUAAUCCUACAAUUUACUAGCUGUGUUACUUGGGGCAAGUUGCUUAAUCUCAGUUUCCUCCUCCAUAAAAUGGGUUAACAAACUAAACCUAUUUAUAAGGUCCUUGUGAAGACGAAGUGAUGCAAUCCAUGCAGCCAUUAGUUCUGUGGUCUAGUGGGAUGGUCAAUACGUUCACCUCUUAUGACUUCCUAGCCCCAUCGGUCAUCUUACCGCUACCUGCUUUUCCAAAGUAAUCUUUUAACGCUCCCUUCUCCUUAGCAUUUCCAGCCACACUGAACUUCAUUUCAUUUCUUCUAAAGAAGUUUUCUCUUUUACCCUGGGCCUUUGCAUAUGCUAUUCUUUCUGUCUAGGAUAUUCUGAUUCCUCCUCUUCCCAUGGCUAAUUACUAGUUAUCCUUCUACCUUAGUGUAGACAUCCUGCCUUUUCUGACCCCAGCAAAUUGAGUCGGGUGUCCUUGAGGGUAUGGCGUUCCCAUGGCACCUCACACAUCCCAUGCCGUAGCACUUUGCACACGUGAUUGUAGUUGUUUCUUUGCCGGAGUACGUGGUCCAUGCAGGCUUAGUGUGAUAGCCCCAGCAGUCUAGUUAGUGCCUGGCAUAUAGUUGAGGUCAUUGUGGAACAGAGAUGACACCAAAUGUGCCUGUGGUAAUAGUGGGUGUUUGCCUAAGCCCCUCAGCCCGGUGACUUCUAGCCUCAGGGACCCUAGUCCUUCCGUGGGUCUACAACUCUUCAAACCCUCUCUCUGAGUCCACUCAGUCCCACACCAGAGAGCAAUGGACAGUGUAUCGUUGGAGGCCAUACCCAAGACCAGCAGGACCCUUGUUAAAAAAUUAUUAUAAAGAAUUUCAAGGGGCGCCUGGGUGGCGCAGUCGGUUAAGCGUCCGACUUCAGCCAGGUCACGAUCUCGCGGUCCGUGAGUUCGAGCCCCGCGUCAGGCUCUGGGCUGAUGGCUCAGAGCCUGGAGCCUGCUUCCGAUUCUGUGUCUCCCUCUCUCUCUGCCCCUCCCCCGUUCAUGCUCUGUCUCUCUCUGUCCCAAAAAUAAAUAAACGUUGAAAAAAAAAAAAAAAAAGAAUUUCAAGAUGGUAACAGUAGAGCAUUAAACCAAGUGUGGGGCCCUCCUAAGCAUGGCAUGCUGUGCCACUGCACAGGUCCCACACCCGUGAUGUCACACGCCCAGGGCCUGCCCUUCUUCACGACCCUGGGUCCAGAAGGAUCCGACACAUUCUUUCCCACCAGGGCACUAGGAACCAGUAGUGCUAUCUAAUGCUAUCUCCUCAGGAAUCAAAUGACCUUUAAGGAUUGCCAACCGGGGUAACAAGCUUAAAGCUAAGAAAGGAAUUAGUGAUGUAAUUUCUGUCCCCAGUGGCCGAGAUAAUUUUGCACGGGACUUAAAGAGGCAGGCAAGAACCUUACAUUCCAUUAUUUUGCUAAUACUUCCUCACACGUUCGUCUUCUGUUUUAGUGUAUAUGCAUGUGUAUAUAGCAUACACACACAUCCUGAGCUGAGAAUAUUUUUUUCUAACCUCAUUGUAUCCAUCAGCAAAAUGAACACUGACGUGUUAGUUUGGGGGCUUCAAAGAGAUGUCCUGAGGCUUCGUGUUAGUGAAGAGCUUAGAAAUCUUCCAUCAGAAAAACCACGUGUCCACAAGUGAGGCAAUGGACUCUAGAAACGCAACUGUUAGACUUUUGUGACAGAUACUUCAUGAUAAUAGAAUGCCAUGUGGUUUCAGAAAAUACGACAUUUCAGUGGUUCUCAACCCUGUCUGCUUAUUAGAAUCACUUUGGGGAAAGCUUCCAAAGCACGGUGAGGCCUGGGUUCCCCAACAACUGAAUCAAAAUUUCCCGAAGUCUGGCAAGGGCACCAGUAGAUGAUAAAGCUCUCCAGGUGGUUCACAUGUACAGCUGGAUAAAGAGGCACCGUCCUGGCUUGGACAGGUUCUGGAACAGGCACGGGCAUUCCCGGCAUGCAAAUUAGCGUCGUCAAUCGAACCUCAAUCAAAAGGUGAUGAAAAUCACGUGCUGUUUAAUAGCCUCUUAAUUUAAAUCCACACACGAGGAGGAGAGCUGCUCAUGUCCCCCGUCAUUAUUAUGUAUUUGGAAGCAGUGAAAUCCCUCUACAAAAAAAAAUAAAUAAAUAAAAAAGCCUUAAAACUAACUUAAGCCUUCAAAUCAUCAAUAAAAUAUAAUAUCAAUUUCAUCCCAUGGCACAAAUUCCAAUUUCCAUGAAAACUGCCCGACCCUAAAAUAUAUCAAGAGCUUCUUCUAAUCACAGGAGAUGUAUUCUGUAAAGGGCCCCUCUUCUGGGAUGGCUAAGUCCGCAAGUCACUGUUUUUACUACAGCUGAAAAAUUAAUUCCUUUUUAGAAAUAUUCUCAUCUUCUCCUAAAAGAAAAAAAAAAAAAGCUUUUUUGAUGUAGAGUGACAGGAUUAUGAAGUGACCCUCUGGGUCAGAAGGAGACUUUUCUUUUUCUCAUCAAGGAAAUCAAUUUCUAAAGUCCAAGUCUCUUAAAAUAAUAUAUUCUUGUGGCACGCACGCAGCUUUUUUGAUCUGCUAUGAAAAGAAUAAGAGGUAAAGAGGAUCAGGGGUGGCGAUGGAAUAUUAUAAUCUGCCACACUCACACAUCAGCCUUUCACUAAGUAAUUCCAGAUAAAUUGAGGAUUUACAUAUUUAAGAUUAAAUGGGGGAAAGAGUAGCUGAUGCAUAAAUAUGGGAAUAUAAAAAUAUUUCUGGAGCAAGUUAACUCUUAAAACUUAAAGUUACUUGGUGUUUCUUUUAUUGUUCCGCGUGGAAGUUUAAGGUUUAUUAGUGGCUAACCGAGAUCAUCUUUUUCAGAUCAAUUGCACUGACAACCCACCCUUAGGGAAUGUUUUUCCCUGUCCUCGGUAAAACCCCAAUUACACCAACAAGUAACAGUUAAAUGCAUACAAAGACGCAUAAAUACAGCAGAUGGAAAGCAGGAGGAAGCAGCUGGAAGUGUGUUUCCCUCAGAACUGUUUUUAACAGCCUGUGCACAAAUCAUGCCUCUCUAAUGCAGAGAUAAAAAUAAAACAUAAAUAUUGAAAAGGUUACUGGUCACAGCAACAAGAUGACAUGAGACACUGCGAUCCUCCCCGGUUCUAUUACCCUCGGACCACCCUUCGAUGCUCUCCCAUCUGGGGCUUCCGAGAGAUCCUGAAAAUCAUAUUCAACUCCAGGAUUUUGAUUGUGCUGGGAGCACAACUGCGUCCUGAACCCGUCCCUGCCACAGUUCCCAAGCAUCCGGUGCCUGUGUGGCUCUUGUUAGACCCCCGUUAGGACCCCCAAAGGGAGCCACGAUUUCUAACUUCCUAACAGCUCAAAAUACAACUUAACCAAGCAGUGUCCUUCCUUGCUAGGACUCGGAUCCCACGUUGCUGAGAAUCCUUCACUGUGUAGGUGCUUUCUAAAAAAUGACAGCUACGAUUGCAGAAUAUGUAUCUUUCAUGUAUGGAGGGAAUUCUGACCCACCAUUGAGUAGGGGAAUGAAGCUUGGGCCCUUUUUCCGGUGAUGCUGACAUUUUCUUAGGCUGCGCCUACCUCAUUGUCUACUCAUUUAUCCUUCAAGCGUUUUCUGACCGCUAGCUAAGCUCAGGCUUCUAUGGCAGGUGCUAAAGGGAAGGGAGUGACUAUGGUGAAGAGGGUAGGGAAGGAGCAUAUGGAGGCAACAAUGGCGGCUCCUGAGAUGCUGGCGAUGUUUUCUUUCUUGACCCGAGUGCUGGUUUACUUGCUGUUUUCUUUUAAUAACAUAUUAAGCAGUACAGUUAGGUUGGGUGCACUUACAUAGUCAUAUGCUACUUUCACAAAUUAAAAAAAAGUGAAAGUGGGGCACCUGGGUGGCUCAGUCUGUUAGGCAUCUGACUUCGGCUCAGGUCAUGAUCUCACGGUUUGUGGGUUUGAGCCCCCCGUCAGGCUCUGUCCUGACAGCCUAGAGCCUAGAGCCUGCUUCAGAUUCUGUGUCUCCCUCUCUCUCUCUGCCCCUCCCCUGCUCAUGCUCUGUCUCUCUCUCUCUCUUUCAAAAAUGAAUAAACAUUAAAAAAUAAAAACAUGAAAAAAUGUGAAAGAAAGAAAAAAGAAGGGGCAAACAUGAAAGACCCAGAUAGGGAGUUUUCAAUCGAGUAGGAAAGAUACUACAUAAAGCUAUCUUGUUAAUAAUGCACAGGGAGGUAUGUUCAAUGCCAUAAUUUAUAUAGAGAGAUAACAAUCACAGAUAGAUAUAGACAUAUAAUCAUAAAUACAAUCAUUUAUCCAUAUUGUAUAAAUAGAAUCAUUUAUCUACAUAAAUAAUUUCAGAAAAGUAUAAAUGACUGUAGGAAUUAAAAGGUCCAUCCGGAGAGAUCAAGGUUAUCAGAUAAGGCAUCAUAGAGAAGGCAGUAGUUGAAAUAGGCCUUGAAAGAUGGGCAACAAUUCAACAGCAGCGCUGGAGCCCCUAGGAGGUGGGCAUUGAUCAGGAAGGAAGGUCGGGAGCACAAAGAAUCCAGGAAGGACCGCUUUAGUCAAUGGAAGCAGGUAGUUUAAUGAAAGCAUAGGGAAGAAUGUAUAGAGCCAGAAAAGUAUUUUAUUUAAUGGAUAAAGGAGAACAUAGAAGUGCUGUGAGCAAGAAAACAUAUAUUUGAACUGUAUUUAGAAGAAUUAAAUUGGCAGUAAUCUCCUGAAUCGAAGGGAAGAGAGCAUGAGACACGAAGGCCGUUAAGUCAUGCAGAUUAUCCUUGGCCUUCAGAAUGCCAAGGUCGGGGGAGGGAGAGGUGGCUCUCUGAAGGCUCUCGGGAACUCCAGGUUCUCUGUCCAUAUUGGCGUGGAUCGCUUCCUUCCAUCACCUCCUCUCUGUCCCUCUUGAAAUCAAUCCCUUACCAAUGUUGUCGUUUACCUCCACUGGUGUAUCUUUCCAGUAUUUAUUCUUCGAGUACUAUAAAAGCUUUUAAUGUGAGAAACAUAUUCUUCCCUCAAAAAAAAAGAAAAAAUAUAUAUAUAUCCGUAAAUUGAUGGAGGGAAGUUACAAAUAUAGUCAGUCAAUUUGAAUAUUGCAAUACCCAAAUCUUACUGUUUUUCUAUGUGCUUCUGAGUUGAACUUUCUCCUUCCCUUUGCCUCUAUCCACACAGUUGCUGAGGGCGGGAGGUUGCUCGUGAGUGCGUGUGGAGGCGUGGCGGGAAGCGUGUGCAUGUGCCCCUGUGCCUACCUGUGUCUCUCCCGGAAUUCUUGGUGCUUCUUGCUAAAAGUUUGGUUUGGUCCUACAAGAGUUUCCAGGAGCUCAAAACCAUUGGCCUCCUUACUUUCACAGCCAUAACUUGGGGAGCUGUUAACACGGUUGCAAAACAGCUGUAACGCCCCUCACUCGACUGCCAGGGUUUCCUCUUCCUUAGGUCCCAUCAGGAUGUGUCAGAAGCAUGAACACAACUUAAAUGUCUAUCUGGUGCAUUUUACUCUUGUUAAUUAUGGAUGAAUUGGCGCAUUCAAAAGUGAAUCAAAGGAGAGGAAGGAAUCACCUCCACUAUUCAUUUACUCACAGCAAAUGCUUUCAGAGGGCCCAGAAUCGGUGCAUUUUCUAAACUGCACAUCUGUCUUUACUGCUUUACUUGUCCUAUCUCACUCUGAGGUCUGUCGUUUUAGAAGGGGGGGUGGUGCGCUGCAUUUUGUUACUUAUUCUUUUCAGUUUCUGGUACCCUGCAUUUAUCAGAGAAGGACAGUUUGAGGAAGGUCAAGGUUCAAAAGGACUCGUUGCCAAUAGGAAAUAAACCUUCUCUCCGCCUUCACACAGGUUUGCUCACGCCCCACAGCUGGGUCGGGUUUAUGGCCGAAGGGAAGCUUAUCAUCGUCGGCUGGCUGGGUGACCAACCGUUGAUUUGCACAUAUAGCUGUCACCAGCCCCUGCUGUGUUUCCCCUGUGACUCAUUUAUUUCAGGUGCUAUAGCAACAGGUCUGGGAUGCACACAUGAUGAAGUUCCUCGCCAGACCGAGUUCAAAGCACCUCUUGCCCUUCAAUGGAUCAGAAGAAAUUCUCUUUUUAAAUAUCUGCCAGCUGACCCAGAGCUGGCCAAAACAGGAAGGAAUUUUCCACCAGGACUUACUGGAUCUUGAGAGCUUCUUUCAGAACUUUGUGUGUUCAGGUGGGAAAGCUUUGUUAGGAGUCGGAGGCUGGGAUCAUAGCUCAGAUCUCCCAGAAUGAGCUAAAACACUCACGCUCUGAAGUCAGACGGACUAGGUGGUUCGUGAUCCAAGUGGCAGUGAAGUUGCCAUGAAGAAGAGAGAAAAACGGAGAGUGUGGAGCAAAGUUGCAUUAAACUAAAUUCUUUCAUCAAAAGUGUUG